UGUAUAUUUGGUAGUAGAUUUAGGAAUAAAAUUUUGAAGAGUUAUAAAAAUAAUUAUUAAAAAUGUAUGUUGUAAGUUUAAACUAAAUCAAAUAGUUGAAUUGAAGGUUAUUGAAUUUCAAGUAGGUUGAAGUCUUGAGAAUUAGAUUUUAAAGAGAAGUUAGGAUUUUAAAGAUCUUUAGUAAUCUACUAAUUGAAUUGGAGUGAAAUUUAUAUAUAAGGAUAAUAGACUUUAUUUUCUACAUAUAAGUAAAUUUUAAAAAUAAUUAAACAACCUAAGAAAGAAAUAUUGGUACUAGAAGACUAGCAUCAAGAUUGAAGAAAGAGGCCGGCCAAUAGUCAAGCAAAUUUUAAUAUUUUUCUUCUAUUUUGAUAAAUUUGAUUCUCUUUAAAUUUCAUGUGCUUAUUUUCAACUUAUUUUUUGAAAAGUGUAUAAAAUUUUAAACAAAUUAAAUAGUUUAAUCAAUAGAUAUUGAGGUUCUAAACUAUGCUCAUGUUAGGUUGAAUUGAUUAGGUUUUGAUUAGGAUUUGGUUUAGAAUUAGGAUUGAACUUGUGUUUACGAAUUGAUUUAGGAUUUAGUAUUUUCUUAGGAUUUAGGUUUGGUUUAAGAUUUAAGAUUUUCUUAGAGUUUAGAAUUUGGCCUAAGGUUUGAUUAAAGUCCAUUAAGAUUUCAACUAGGAUUAAAUUAGGACUUGGUUGAGAUUUAUUAAAGAUAUAUUUGUGAUUAUUUAAAUAUUUUUUAAAAAUUUUCUUAAGGAUUCUU
This 763-nucleotide long non-coding RNA is filed under the name Physcomitrium patens. RNAcentral describes it as "long non-coding RNA (PPAT_LNC007275)". Lineage: Eukaryota; Viridiplantae; Streptophyta; Bryopsida; Funariales; Funariaceae. The record is from RNAcentral.